AGUGAAUGCUGGCGGCAGGCCUAAUACAUGCAAGUUGAACGGCAGCACAGCAGAGCUUGCUCUGUGGGUGGCGAGUGGCGGACGGGUGAGGAAUACAUGGGAAUCUGCCCAGUCGUGGGGGAUAACGUAUGGAAACGUACGCUAAUACCGCAUGCGCCCUACGGGGGAAAGUCGGGGACCGCAAGGCCUGACGCGAUUGGAUGAGCCCAUGUUCGAUUAGCUAGUUGGCGGGGUAAAGGCCCACCAAGGCGACGAUCGAUAGCUGGUCUGAGAGGAUGAUCAGCCACACUGGAACUGAGACACGGUCCAGACUCCUACGGGAGGCAGCAGUAGGGAAUAUUGGACAAUGGGGGCAACCCUGAUCCAGCCAUGCCGCGUGAGUGAAGAAGGCCCUCGGGUUGUAAAGCUCUUUUGUCCGGAAAGAAAGCAUCUGGUUAAUACCCGGGUGUUCUGACGGUACCGGAAGAAUAAGCACCGGCUAACUUCGUG
RNAcentral lists this ribosomal RNA (489 nucleotides) under uncultured bacterium. RNAcentral's name for it is "bacterial SSU rRNA". It matches the Rfam family "Bacterial small subunit ribosomal RNA", at positions 29 to 507 of the family's 1533-position model. The record is from RNAcentral.